UCAUUUUCCGGUUAGCCUUCGGGGUGUCCGCGUGAGAAUUGGCUAUAUCCUGGAGCGAGUGCUGGGAGGUGCUAGUCCGCCGCGCCUUAUUCGAGAGGUGUCAGGGCUGGGAGACUAGGAUGUCGGACACGUGGAGCUCUAUCCAGGCCCACAAGAAGCAGCUGGACUCUCUGCGGGAGAGGCUGCAGCGGAGGCGGAAGCAGGACUCGGGGCACUUGGCAGCAGACCUUCGCCCUUCUGCAAGUAGUUCGCGGUUCCUCCUCACGCUGGGCCUCGGUUCUUCCAGGUCACUUUUACCGGACGGACGCUUGAGCCCCACCCUCGUCCGCCUUGCCCACUCCUCUUCAGACUGCGAGGACGUCGCCUUUGUGAGGCUGCUCAGCCCCCUAUCCCGCGAAGCAGCAAGAACCCCUUUUUGUUGCUGCUUUGGCGCUUUGUUCCCUCAGUUAUAACGACUGUUUUGUAGUGGUCAUUUCUUGGCAGCUGUGGGUACAGUAAGCGAGGAAUGAACCUUUAUAUCUGCAGUGCCCAAUUCAGUGGCCCGU
RNAcentral lists this small RNA (545 nucleotides) under Pan troglodytes (chimpanzee). Its description in RNAcentral is "processed transcript". Lineage: Eukaryota; Metazoa; Chordata; Mammalia; Primates; Hominidae. The record is from RNAcentral.